This 301-nucleotide ribosomal RNA is filed under the name uncultured bacterium. Its description in RNAcentral is "partial 16S ribosomal RNA". It matches the Rfam family "Bacterial small subunit ribosomal RNA", at positions 509 to 807 of the family's 1533-position model. The record is from RNAcentral.
CAGCAGCCGCGGGAAUACGUAGGGUGCGAGCGUUAAUCGGAAUUACUGGGCGUAAAGCGUGCGCAGGCGGUUGUGUAAGACAGGUGUGAAAUCCCCGGGCUUAACCUGGGAACUGCGCUUGUGACUGCACAGCUAGAGUAUGGCAGAGGGGGGUGGAAUUCCACGUGUAGCAGUGAAAUGCGUAGAGAUGUGGAGGAACACCGAUGGCGAAGGCAGCCCCCUGGGCCAAUACUGACGCUCAUGCACGAAAGCGUGGGGAGCAAACAGGAUUAGAUACCCCGGUAGUCCCUGUCUCUUAUAC